This 1425-nucleotide long non-coding RNA is filed under the name Olea europaea subsp. europaea. The record is from RNAcentral. Lineage: Eukaryota; Viridiplantae; Streptophyta; Magnoliopsida; Lamiales; Oleaceae.
UGUUUCUUUAAUGUCAUUAGCUUGACAUAACCGAGGUGUCUAUGUUGGAUCUUCAGGUGGCACAUCUCUCUUGUUUCUAGACUUCACUCUCGACUCUGUAUUCUCCUUCACUGUAGCAUGGCCAACAAAAUUAGGCCGUUUUAACCAGGUGUAGCCUUCAAAACCUCUUUUGGUUUGGCAAUGUUUAGGGGUUUCAGAGGCCUAUCCACAUAGCUUUCCUUUUUGUCAGUGAAUUAGCCUCUUGAGCUAAGAUGAAAUCUACCAUCUUCUUGGUUCUUGAGUAUUUACCUUCAGUAGAUGCAUCCCUUGCUGAGUAACUGGUUGCCAUGUUCUGCACUAGCGGACCAUAAAAUUUUUUAUCUUUUCCUCUAUUACCUGUAACUGCUUCAGCUGAUUGGAUCAUAUUGCAAGUGUUAACUUUUUCUUGAAACUUCUUAGCUUGGUGGAUGGUGAAAGUUACUUGCUCUUCAUUAACUCGCAAUGUAAACUUUCCUUCCUAGACAUCAAUCAAUGUUCUUCCAGUGCUAGGAAAGGUAGACAAAGAAUCAAUGGUACUUUCUCAUCCUCCUUCAUGUCCAACAUUACAAAGUCCACCGAAAAGAUGAACUUAUCAACCUUUACGAAUACAUCUUCAGUAAUGCCCUUAGGGUAUGUAAUUGAUCGAUUUGCUAGUUGUAAGGUGAGGAUUGUGGGUUUUAUUUAUCCAAGACUUAGCUUCUUGAACACUGAUAGGGGCAUCAAAUUCAUGCUAGCUUCAAGGUCACACAGUGCUCUAUCAAAUAUGAUACCACCAAUUUUGCAAAGAAUGUUAAAGCUUUCUGGAUUUUUCAAUUUCGGAGGGAGUUUCUUCUGGAGAAUGGUACUAUACUCUUCUGUCAUCUUAAUUGUCUCUAACUCAUCUAGCUUCUUCUUCUUUGACAUCACUUUCUUUAAGAACUUGGCAUAGUUGGGCAUUUGGGCCAAGGCAUCUGCGAAGGGGAUGUUGAUGUGGAUUUUCUUGAAAACCUCCAAGAAUUUUGUGAAUUGCUCAUCAAUUUUUUCUUCAUAAACCUCUACAGGAAUGGUAGUAGUGUCUUCAAGAUGGGUGGAUUAUUUGGGAAUGAGAUUCAAUAAGGUUUAUGUGCUUCUUUUGCUAUCUCUGUCUCAGUCUUCUGCUCUUCAACUAGCUUUUCCUCCAUAAGUAUGGGAUCCGGUUUAGGCACCACAAUCUCUUUAGCCUUGCUUUCUUGAACUUCUUUACCAUUCCUUAGGAUAGCAUUGCAGUGCUCCCUUGGGUUAACCUCUGUAUCACUGGGAAAUUUUCCUCUCUGUUGAGACUGUAUCGCAAUUGCUAUCUAACCAAGCUGUACCUCUAAGUUCUUCACUAUGGUCCUCUAGUUGGUCAUGUUAGUCUCAAUGUUGUCAAGUCUUGACUCAUCUUUGUUG